This 253-nucleotide ribosomal RNA is filed under the name uncultured bacterium. RNAcentral describes it as "partial 16S ribosomal RNA". It matches the Rfam family "Bacterial small subunit ribosomal RNA", at positions 524 to 776 of the family's 1533-position model. The record is from RNAcentral.
UACGUAGGUGGCAAGCGUUGUCCGGAUUUAUUGGGUUUAAAGGAUGCGUCGGCGGUUUUGUAAGUCAGUGGUGAAAUAUGUCAGCUUAAAUGGGAGGGUGCCAUUGAAACUGCAGAUCUUGAGUACAGAUGAGGUAGGCGGAAUUGAAGGUGUAGCGGUGAAAUGCUUAGGUAUCGUCAAGAACACCUAUAGCGAAGGCAGCUUACUAGGCUGUAACUGACGCUGAGGCACGAAAGUGUGGGGAUCAAACAGG